AGUUUAGGUUUAUGCCUAGCCUAGGCAGGAAAUAAUAAAAUAUAUAAGUUUAAAGAAGUUAGAAUAAAAGCGCGAGAUGAAAGUGAGAUGUAAACUGAGCUCAAAUAUCACCGCGUAUAAUUACGUUUUAACUUCAGUUUCGUACGCGUCCGGAAAUAAUAGCGAAAAAAAUUUAAAAACUGACUACAAUUCCAAAGUCAACGUUUUU
Non-coding RNA from Paramuricea clavata, 208 nucleotides. Lineage: Eukaryota; Metazoa; Cnidaria; Anthozoa; Malacalcyonacea; Plexauridae. The record is from the annotation of a GenBank genome assembly.